Molecule: ribosomal RNA, 400 nt
Filed under: uncultured bacterium
Lineage: Bacteria
Description: bacterial SSU rRNA
Rfam family: Bacterial small subunit ribosomal RNA
Source: RNAcentral
UGGGGAAUAUUGCGCAAUGGGCGAAAGCCUGACGCAGCAACACCGCGUGAGGGAUGACGGCCUUCGGGUUGUAAACCUCUUUCAGCUCCGACGAAGCGAGAGUGACGGUAGGAGCAGAAGAAGCACCGGCUAACUACGUGCCAGCAGCCGCGGUAAUACGUAGGGUGCAAGCGUUGUCCGGAAUUAUUGGGCGUAAAGAGCUCGUAGGCGGCUCGUCACGUCUGCCGUGAAAACCCGGGGCUCAACCCCGGGCCUGCGGUGGAUACGGGCGAACUAGAGUCCGGUAGGGGAGACUGGAAUUCCUGGUGUAGCGGUGGAAUGCGCAGAUAUCAGGAGGAACACCGAUGGCGAAGGCAGGUCUCUGGGCCGGAACUGACGCUGAGGAGCGAAAGCGUGGGGA